RNAcentral lists this long non-coding RNA (224 nucleotides) under Elaeis guineensis (African oil palm). RNAcentral describes it as "long non-coding RNA (EGUI_LNC034313)". The record is from RNAcentral. Lineage: Eukaryota; Viridiplantae; Streptophyta; Magnoliopsida; Arecales; Arecaceae.
CCUAGUCAACUCUUGAGUCAGUUUGAUCAACCACUCUCAGUAGACCUAAUUGAGUUAUCCACACCCUUGACCCAUGAUUUAUGAAAUUGUAUCAGAUCUGAAUUUCCAAUUAGAUCUUUUAAUUUCAUCUUUAAUUCCUAAUUAAGUUCAUAGGUCUAAUUUAGAUGUCAAAAUAUUUUUGAAUCCAAAAGAAUUAAGUUUUGUAUCUCAUACAAAAUCUGCUC